UGGGGAAUAUUGCACAAUGGGGGAAACCCUGAUGCAGCGACGCCGCGUGAGCGAAGAAGUAUUUCGGUAUGUAAAGCUCUAUCAGCAGGGAAGAUAAUGACGGUACCUGACUAAGAAGCUCCGGCUAAAUACGUGCCAGCAGCCGCGGUAAUACGUAUGGAGCAAGCGUUAUCCGGAUUUACUGGGUGUAAAGGGAGCGUAGACGGCAGGGCAAGUCUGAUGUGAAAACCCGGGGCUCAACCCCGGGACUGCAUUGGAAACUGUCCGGCUGGAGUGCAGGAGAGGUAAGUGGAAUUCCUAGUGUAGCGGUGAAAUGCGUAGAUAUUAGGAGGAACACCAGUGGCGAAGGCGGCUUACUGGACUGUAACUGACGUUGAGGCUCGAAAGCGUGGGGAGCAAACA
This 402-nucleotide ribosomal RNA is filed under the name uncultured bacterium. RNAcentral's name for it is "bacterial SSU rRNA". It matches the Rfam family "Bacterial small subunit ribosomal RNA", at positions 355 to 774 of the family's 1533-position model. The record is from RNAcentral.